GAUGAACGCUGGCGGCGUGCCUAAUACAUGCAAGUCGAGCGAACAGACGAGGAGCUUGCUCCUCUGACGUUAGCGGCGGACGGGUGAGUAACACGUGGAUAACCUACCUAUAAGACUGGGAUAACUUCGGGAAACCGGAGCUAAUACCGGAUAAUAUAUUGAACCGCAUGGUUCAAUAGUGAAAGACGGUUUUGCUGUCACUUAUAGAUGGAUCCGCGCCGCAUUAGCUAGUUGGUAAGGUAACGGCUUACCAAGGCAACGAUGCGUAGCCGACCUGAGAGGGUGAUCGGCCACACGGGAAGUGAGACACGGUCCAGACUCCUACGGGAGGCAGAAGCAGGGAAUCUUCCGCAAUGGGCGAAAGCCUGACGGAGCAACGCCGCGUGAGUGAUGAAGGUCUUCGGAUCGUAAAACUCUGUUAUUGGGGAAAAACAAAUGUGUAAGUAACUAUGCACGUCUUGACGGUACCUAAUCAGAAAGCCACGGCUAACUACGUG
Molecule: ribosomal RNA, 497 nt
Filed under: uncultured bacterium
Lineage: Bacteria
Description: partial 16S ribosomal RNA
Rfam family: Bacterial small subunit ribosomal RNA
Source: RNAcentral